Molecule: ribosomal RNA, 253 nt
Filed under: uncultured bacterium
Lineage: Bacteria
Description: partial 16S ribosomal RNA
Rfam family: Bacterial small subunit ribosomal RNA
Source: RNAcentral
UACGGAGGGUGCAAGCGUUGUUCGGAAUUACUGGGCGUAAAGGGCGCGUAGGCGGCCAGGGAAGUCCGAUGUGAAAGCCCGGGGCUCAACCCCGGAAGGGCAUUGGAAACUCCCUGGCUUGAGUUCGGGAGAGGAGGGCAGAAUUCCCGGUGUAGGGUUGAAAUCCGUAGAUAUCGGGAGGAAAACCGGUGGCGAAGGCGGCCCUCUGGAACGAAACUGACGCUGAGGCGCGAAAGCGUGGGGAGCAAACAGG